Molecule: long non-coding RNA, 1365 nt
Filed under: Mytilus galloprovincialis (Mediterranean mussel)
Lineage: Eukaryota; Metazoa; Mollusca; Bivalvia; Mytilida; Mytilidae
Source: RNAcentral
AAUUUUAUUUGUUUAUAUGAAUUUUUGUGCUUUUUUUUACAUAUUUAUUUGUUUUCAUAGUAAUUGACAUUAUAACACAAUAUUGAAUGCUGUACUUUUAUUUUUGACAUUUUAACCUAUUAUGUUAUUGUUUUGUUCACACAUCAUUAUCAAUAUAAUUGAAUUUCAUGCAACUGUCAUACAAGUGAGAGGUUUAGCUAGCUAUAAAACCAGGUUAAAUACACCCUUUUUUACUUUAGAAAAUACUUGUACAGAGUCAGGAAUAUGACAGUUAUUAUCCAUUCGUUUGAUGUGUUUGUGCUUUUGAUGUGCCAUUUGAUUAGAGACUUUUCGUUUUGAAUUUUCCUCGGAAUUCAGUAUUUUUAUGUUUUACUUCUUUUAUACACGAUACCACCUAAUACACACGACACACGUAUCGGGAACUACCUUAAUCAAGUUUGUCUGAGACCAAACGCUGGUGAUGCCAAAUAAAUAUACCACAUAAUACACACGACACACGUAUCGGGAACUACCUUAAUCAAGUUUGUCUGAGACCAAACGCUGGUGAUACCAAAUAAAUAUUUUGUCUGAGACCAAACGCUGGUGAUGCCAAAUAAAUAAUUUGUCUGAGACCAAACGCUGGUGAUGCCAAAUAAAUAUUUUGUAUGAGACCAGAUGCUGGUGAUGCCAAAUAAAUAUUUUGUCUGAGACCAAACGCUGGUGGUGCCUAAUAAAUAUUUUGUCUGAGACCAAACGCUGAUGAAGCCAAAUAAAUAUUUUGUCUGAGACCAGACGCUGGUGAUGCCAAAUAAAUAUAUUUUGUCUGAGACCAAACGCUGGUGAUGCCAAAUAAAUAUUUUGUCUGAGACCACGCUGGUGAUGCCAAAUAAAUAUUUUGUCUGAGACCAAACGCUGGUGAUGCUAAAUAAAUAUUUUGUCUGAGACCAAACGCUGGUAAUGCCAAAUAAAUAUUUUGUCUGAGACCAAACGCUGGUGAUGCCAAAUAAAUAUUUUGUCUGAGACCAAACGCUGGUGAUGCCAAAUAAAUAUUUUGUCCGAGACCAAACGCUGGUAAUGCCAAAUAAAUAUUUUGUCUGAGACCAAACGCUGGUGAUUCCAAAUAAAUAUUUUAGCCAUAGAGUAUUUAAUCCAAAGUGAAUCAUAGAAAACCUAAAUUCGCAUUAUUUUCUAAGGAAGUUUUUAUCAAAGGCGUAGGUCCGGUAAGGGCCGAUUUUGGCCUCAAAUUUCAGGUUCAUCUAACGAAAUAUUUUGGACACUUUUUAAACACUUAAGUGUCUAUUUCAAUUGAUUCAAUUAGUUUAUUUGAAAGAUUUUAAACGGUUAAGUCAUUAAAAAUGCUCAGAUUCAAGCUUAAAUAUGAAAAAU